CGCAGGGCUGGGGGCCCCGGGGCUGCUGGGCAGUCAUUGAGGGAGAGGUCCCCCCAACAGGUGACCUGGAGAGCUUCAAGAAGCAGUCGUUUGUGCUGAAGGAGGGUGUGGAGUACCGGAUAAAAAUCUCUUUCCGGGUAAGCUACAGGCUGCUGUGGCCAGGGAAUGGAGGCGGGGCUAGGGCUGGGGUCCGGGCCGACCUUCCCUGAUUUGCUUCGGGUCCUGCAGGUUAACAGAGAGAUAGUGUCCGGCAUGAAGUACAUCCAGCACACGUACAGGAAAGGCGUCAAGAUUGACAAGACUGACUACAUGGUAGGCAGCUAUGGGCCCCGGGCCGAGGAGUACGAGUUCCUGACCCCCGUGG
RNAcentral lists this small RNA (364 nucleotides) under Pongo abelii (Sumatran orangutan). RNAcentral's name for it is "retained intron". The record is from RNAcentral. Lineage: Eukaryota; Metazoa; Chordata; Mammalia; Primates; Hominidae.